AUUUAUAUAGUAUAAAAAGUAUAAUUAAUUUCCAAUUAAUAGGUUUAUAAAUAAAUUUAAUAUAAAUA
Molecule: transfer RNA, 68 nt
Filed under: Cephalonomia gallicola
Lineage: Eukaryota; Metazoa; Arthropoda; Insecta; Hymenoptera; Bethylidae
Description: tRNA-Gly
Source: RNAcentral